GGUCAGAUGGCCGAGCGGUUAUGGCGCCAGGUUAAGGUUACCUUAACAAGUAAAUUCCUGGUGGAGCAAUCCUCGUGGGUUCGAAUCCCACUCUGAUCA
Molecule: non-coding RNA, 99 nt
Organism: Cladobotryum mycophilum
Lineage: Eukaryota; Fungi; Ascomycota; Sordariomycetes; Hypocreales; Hypocreaceae
Source: the annotation of a GenBank genome assembly